AAUGAACGCUGGCGGCGCGCCUAAUACAUGCAAGUCGAGCGAGAAGGACGUAGCAAUACGUUUGUAAAGCGGCGAACGGGUGAGGAAUACAUGGGUAACCUACCCUCGAGUGGGGAAUAACUAGCCGAAAGGUUAGCUAAUACCGCGUACGCUCCUUGGACUUCGGUUCAGGGAGGAAAGCGAUACCGUGGGUAUCGCGCUCUUGGAUGGGCUCAUGUCCUAUCAGCUUGUUGGUGAGGUAACGGCUCACCAAGGCUUCGACGGGUAGCUGGUCUGAGAGGACGAUCAGCCACACUGGCACUGGCGACACGGGCCAGACUCCUACGGGAGGCAGCAGUAAGGAAUAUUGCGCAAUGGGCGAAAGCCCUGACGCAGCGACGCCGCGUGGGGGAUGAAGGUCUUCGGAUUGU
RNAcentral lists this ribosomal RNA (410 nucleotides) under uncultured bacterium. RNAcentral describes it as "bacterial SSU rRNA". It matches the Rfam family "Bacterial small subunit ribosomal RNA", at positions 29 to 426 of the family's 1533-position model. The record is from RNAcentral.